CAACAAAGUUGAGAAAUAAGGGAUGACAAAUUUGAUGCAAUCUGACACUGGGCCUGAUUCCAAGUACGAAGGAAGAAUUUUAAGCCUUUCAAUUUCAUCAUCAAACCAUGUCCCGACCAUCCAACCACAUGAUUGUUAGUCCACUAGGAUUCCACUAAGGGGCGGAAAGAAGACUCCUGAAGCCAAGAGUUCUCAAAACGAAACACUAAUCAAUAUCACUAGAUGUAAGAGCCAAAGGAAAG
RNAcentral lists this unclassified non-coding RNA (242 nucleotides) under Hevea brasiliensis (rubber tree). The record is from RNAcentral. Lineage: Eukaryota; Viridiplantae; Streptophyta; Magnoliopsida; Malpighiales; Euphorbiaceae.